RNAcentral lists this ribosomal RNA (643 nucleotides) under uncultured bacterium. RNAcentral describes it as "bacterial SSU rRNA". It matches the Rfam family "Bacterial small subunit ribosomal RNA", at positions 232 to 885 of the family's 1533-position model. The record is from RNAcentral.
CGCGGCCUANCAGCUUGUNGGNGGGGUAAUGGCUCACCAAGGCGACGACGGGUAGCCGGCCUGAGAGGGUGACCGGCCACACUGGGACUGAGACACGGCCCAGACUCCUACGGGAGGCAGCAGUGGGGAAUAUUGCACAAUGGGCGCAAGCCUGAUGCAGCAACGCCGCGUGAGGGAUGACGGCCUUCGGGUUGUAAACCUCUUUUAGUAGGGAAGAAGCGUAAGUGACGGUACCUGCAGAAAAAGCACCGGCUAACUACGUGCCAGCAGCCGCGGUAAUACGUAGGGUGCAAGCGUUGUCCGGAAUUAUUGGGCGUAAAGAGCUCGUAGGCGGCUUGUCGCGUCUGCUGUGAAAACCCGAGGCUCAACCUCGGGCCUGCAGUGGGUACGGGCAAGCUAGAGUGCGGUAGGGGAGAUUGGAAUUCCUGGUGUAGCGGUGGAAUGCGCAGAUAUCAGGAGGAACACCGAUGGCGAAGGCAGAUCUCUGGGCCGUAACUGACGCUGAGGAGCGAAAGCAUGGGGAGCGAACAGGAUUAGAUACCCUGGUAGUCCAUGCCGUAAACGUUGGGAACUAGAUGUAGGGCCUGUUCCACGGGUUCUGUGUCGUAGCUAACGCAUUAAGUUCCCCGCCUGGGGAGUACGG